CCUACGGGUGGCAGCAGUAGGGAAUCUUCGGCAAUGGACGAAAGUCUGACCGAGCAACGCCGCGUGAGUGAAGAAGGUUUUCGGAUCGUAAAACUCUGUUGUUAGAGACGAACAAGUAGGAGAGUAACUGCUCUUAGCUUGACGGUAUCUAACCAGAAAGCCACGGCUAACUGCGUGCCAGCAGCCGCGGUAAUACGUAGGUGGCAAGCGUUGUCCGGAUUUAUUGGGCGUAAAGCGAGCGCAGGCGGUCUUUUAAGUCUGAUGUGAAAGCCCUCGGCUCAACCGAGGAAGGUCAUUGGAAACUGGAGGACUUGAGUGCAGAAGAGGAGAGUGGAAUUCCAUGUGUAGCGGUGAAAUGCGUAGAUAUAUGGAGGAACACCAGUGGCGAAGGCGUCUCUCAGGUCUGUAACUGACGCUGAGGCUCGAAAGCGUGGGG
Molecule: ribosomal RNA, 436 nt
Filed under: uncultured bacterium
Lineage: Bacteria
Description: bacterial SSU rRNA
Rfam family: Bacterial small subunit ribosomal RNA
Source: RNAcentral